AUUAAUAUGCCUGAUUAAAGGGUUAUUAUGAUAUAAUAAAUUAAAAAAUUUAAAUAUUUUUAUUAAUA
RNAcentral lists this transfer RNA (68 nucleotides) under Aegilips sp. ZJUH 20220002. RNAcentral's name for it is "tRNA-Ile". The record is from RNAcentral. Lineage: Eukaryota; Metazoa; Arthropoda; Insecta; Hymenoptera; Figitidae.